Molecule: ribosomal RNA, 400 nt
Filed under: uncultured bacterium
Lineage: Bacteria
Description: bacterial SSU rRNA
Rfam family: Bacterial small subunit ribosomal RNA
Source: RNAcentral
UGGGGAAUAUUGGACAAUGGGCGCAAGCCUGAUCCAGCCAUGCCGCGUGAGUGAAGAAGGUCUUCGGAUUGUAAAGCUCUUUUGGCGGGGAAGAUGAUGACUGUACCCGCAGAAUAAGCUCCGGCUAACUUCGUGCCAGCAGCCGCGGUAAUACGAAGGGAGCUAGCGUUGUUCGGAAUCACUGGGCGUAAAGCGCGCGCAGGCGGCUUUUCAAGUUAGAAGUGAAAGCCUGGGGCUCAACCCCAGAACUGCUUUUAAGACUGAGAGGCUAGAGUGUGGGAGAGGAUAGCGGAAUUCCGUGUGUAGAGGUGAAAUUCGUAGAUAUACGGAGGAACACCAAUGGCGAAGGCAGCUAUCUGGAACACAACUGACGCUGAGGCGCGAAAGUGUGGGGAUCAAA